Molecule: long non-coding RNA, 6318 nt
Filed under: Solanum tuberosum (potato)
Lineage: Eukaryota; Viridiplantae; Streptophyta; Magnoliopsida; Solanales; Solanaceae
Description: long non-coding RNA (STUB_LNC010133)
Source: RNAcentral
ACUAAUCCAUAAUUUCACAGUACCAACAACAUAACAAAAUAAUGUAAACUAUUUGAACCGUAUAACUAGUGUUAUUUUGUCUAAUAAUUAGUGAGUUAGAUAGCUAGCUAUAAUACAAGACAAUAAAGGGUACAUAAAAACUUCUGACACUUGAACAUAUGAUGAAGUCUUCCACAUGUCAAAUAUUUCGACAUCAUAACCUGAAAUAAUAAAAUAAGAUGGAUAUCAACAUUAUUUAUGAUAGGACAUAGUAUUACUACUGCUUUAUAACAUUUGACUACUAACAAUCAGACUCUGCACUUUGUCUAUGCACUUAUUUGUAACAAUAGUCCUAUUUGCAAGAAAUUAAAUUGUAUAGGCACAAUUUCGAGCUGGAGAACAAAAGUAUAGAUCCCAAAAUAUAUGUGCUUCAAAACUUAGAUAUGCAUAAAGAAUAAUUUAAAGAUAUUCAACUUAAAGUAAUUGGUUUGAAUCUAAGCUUUUCAUGAGGUGCAAGCUAGAAAGAAACUUUAAAGAUUAUAGCAUUUAUACAAGCUUUGCCAACGUGUAUUAUAUUUGCGUUCAAUAAUUACCUAUAUACUUUUAUUUGUUUUGUUUUUGGUUAAGCCCGCUAAAUGAAUAAGAGAAAUUACAUGAAGUUCCUCAAAUAAAAAAUGCAUAGAGGAGUACAAAAUCUAUUUUAAAUUAAGACUACAUACUAAAAGUUUACUUGGAGAAAGAAUCAAACAUUUAUAAACUAAUAAAAUCCUCGCUAGCUAAGUUACAAAUUAAGAGAGAGCAUACUAAUAAACAUUUACAGUGAAGAGUUGCAGAAACGGGAAUGGGCUUUUUGAGUGUUUGUACAUACUUGUUAGAUUUGCCAGAGAAGAUUUCAGGGAUUGAGAAUUCGAUUUGUUGUUCCUAUUGUAUAACAUUUUGCUUAGUAAAGUAAGGUGGUAGAGUUUUCUACCGCAUACAACAAAAGAAAGUUGUAAAUGACCAAACUCGUAUAUUAACAUUCCAUGGAGUACGCAAACAAUCAGAAUGCAAAUAUCGAUGAAAUGAAAGACAAAAACUCAUGUCGAACCUGGCUUGUUGGGUGUUUCUUGUUUUGCUUUCUUUGCCAGAGCCAGGAGCUACUUAGGAGAUGGAGCUGGUCUCUUUUUCUUUUCAACCUUCAUCAUAAAACAUCAAUCACAUAAAAGACAAUGCUAAUUAAGAUAAAUGAAAAAAAUGAACAAACAUAAAGAUAAAAAAUUUAGUACUACCUCUUUUUGAUGUCUCUUCUUCUAAAUCUUCAUCUCCAUCCAAAUCAUCAAAAAAAUCCAUUACUUAAGGACCAUAAAAAUCCUAGUAAUCCAAAAUUUAAAAAAACUACCUACACCCGGAAAAAAUAUAAGAUAAAGCAUUUCUCCCUGUAUUAAAAGGUAAAAUCUACAUAAUAAGCAUCACAAAAAACUUUAUGAAUGGCAUAGGCACAUCACUGGAGACAUCAUCACUACCAUCUUCAUUAUCCGAGUCAUCUUCAAAAUCAUCAUCAUCUUUGUUAGAUGUCGGUUCUUUUUUUGGUUCUGCCACCUUCGCAUUUUUCUCAAUAAAUGCAACCUUAGUAAGUGCAGACUUUUUUGAAUCAUGCUUUAUAUCCUUCACAUUAUCCUCAAGUUUUCCAUUUAUGCAUCUAAAACAUUCUCUUCAUGUAAAAAAAUAUCACCUCUAGAAUCAAUUUCAUCAACGCUCAGAUCAUCAAUUGUGCAUACAAUUAAAUACACACUCCCAUUUGUUUUAGUCAUGACUCAUGUAAAAUUUUAAACUCCUUUUCAAGGACCAAGUCAAACAUCAACUAAGGUCUAUCCUCUGCCGGUAGAGUUCCAAUGAUGUAAUUAUUUUCUCCAACAGUUAGGCGUAGAGGAACAUGUUUUACUUCUUUGGCAUACUUCACUUCAUCUAUUGCAGCCUACAAAAUAAAGAUCCCUAAUAGCCAUUUAAGAGUAAAGCCACAUUAUGCUAGCUUGAGAAAGAACACAAAUAUAAUUUAUUUAUUUUUAAAAAAAGAAAGCUAACCUUGUAAAUAUGAAUGAGCUUAUAAAGUUCAGGCUUGAUUUAGAAAUCGUCUUACUUUCACUUCAACACCUACACAUAGCUCAUGUGAAAGAUAUGUCACACUUUAAUAAAUUAUGUUCAUAUGGUGUAAUUUCUGCAUCAUGAAAAUAAUUGACCAAAACCGUUAAGGUAUAGAUUAAAAAAAUAAGCACAUGUGUUAGUGGUUCAAUUUAUGUAUAUACAUAUACAAACCGAUCUAUACCUUUUUCUAGUUAUUUGGUUUUGAUUCUAGUAUGCAAUUUUAACUCCUAUUUUCUCUGCAUCUAGUUGCUAGAAACAUAAAAAAAUUCCUUUAAAUGAUACAAACAUCUGUAGCAGAAAAAUCAUGACGUCUUAAGCCUUCAAGAUUCAAUCCAUGAAGCUUAACUUUUUUUCUCAGAUACAAUAAUAUACUUUGGAACAUCGUUAGAAACCUGGAGAACAAAAUGACUAAGAUCCUAAAAAGAUAUGUGAUCUUAAAUAUAGUUAGUGUGUUGCAGUCGUAUAAUAUAUGUGGAUCUUUUUCAUUCCUUGGUGGUGGUUCAGUGGUAAGAUUCUUUCUUAAUUUUUGAUGUCUUUUAAUUCUUUGAAAGACUCAAUACUCCUCGUAUGAUAAAUUAAGAUAUCAAUAGUUUCAUAUUUUGGUUGUUUUUCCUAAAUGCAAACAUAAUUCAAGAUAGCAAUACAUCUGUAAUUGCUAUACUUUUAAGUUUGUUUGUGAGAUGCACCUCAUUAAAGUUUAGUUUCGAACCACUUACUUUAAGUUGAAUAUAUUAAAAUUAGGUCUUCUACAUUUCUCAGAUUGAAAGCACAUGAACCAAUACGGUAAAUUAAUGAACAACAAUAGCUCCUGUAGUGUGGCCGUAGUCCUGUAUGUGAAGAAUUUAAAUUAUCAUCUAUCAGUUAUACUAAAUUUCCAGAAUAGGUCAUGCCUCAUGAAAAUGACUAAAACGAAAUAGUCAACCACAACAUGACCUGCAAGAAAUGUGGUGUUUUUCACUAGAAAGCAAUACAUAUUCUUUCAAUACGUUAAAACUAAAGUGUAUCUAUUUGAAGAUACAAAGAUUUAGUUGGUUGUGUAUAUACAAGGACAUCAAUUAAGAUUUCAGUCUCAAGUUUAUUCAUUUCCAAAUUUUCUAUAAUGGAUCUAAGAACGGAUUGAAGCUUUUAUCUGUAAGAGUUAUUGGCAUUCCACACAAGUUGAAUUAGAUUAGCCUUAUAUGAAACAAAUGCAUUAAUACUACAAAGUAGAAAUAUAUUCUUUUGCUUUGAUCGCUCAUUUAUUUCCUAUUAGUAUAGUAAAUUUUUAAUCAAACAUGAGUUCAUGAAGGAAUUUUUUUAUCCCUUAUAAACUUAUUAGUGAAUCAAAAGCUACUUAAUCUUUGCAAGAGAGUGAUAAGCAGUAUAACACAAUUAUAGCAUCCAAAUUACAAAUGACAUAAUAAUGCAUGAGGGAUAUCUUAAUAAAAUCAAAUUUCCUAUAACUUCUGGGAUUAUAUUUAUAGGAAAACAAGGAAUUUCACCUCAAAGGGAUAAGGGGCAGAACACAUAGGGUACAACCUCCACUAAUAAUACUGAUAAUUAUCACUAGCGAUAGUAAUAUUUUUGAGAUAGAACAAGAAAUAGUAUUGUUAUACUUUGUGGAUACACUCUACUCCAAGAUUUUCCUGAUCGGGACCUAGACUUUAGGUACUUUUUUAACACAUGAAUUUGUACAUCAGCAAAUCUACACAGGAAAGAAGCACAUACAUGAAGAAAGUAAUCUGAAGAUCUCAUUCAGUAACCUCUAAAAAUUCAUAAGCAUUUUUAUUUCCUAAAAUCUUAUACUCUUAGGAAACAUAAAUUGAUUGGAGUACACACACUAAUUCACCAACCUCUAAAAUUUCAAGAGAAUUUAGAUUUCCUAGCUUCUUACAAUUCCGCAGCAAUAAGACUCAAAGUCCUUCAAAUAUCGAUAGUUGAUGUUUGGAUAAAAGACAACUAGAAGGGACACUCUCCUCUCAUCUUCAAUGUUUCUCUCUUUGGUGAAUUCAACAUACAUAAUCUAAUGUUAUUCCUGUUUGAUCAAAAUAUUCAUCCGAGAACCUACGUUAUUUGGUAAUCAUACAGACAUAUAUUCAUGUGCGCUCUAGUUAUAUACAAACAUGAUUAUUCAAGAAAUCACCAUCCAUGUUUUUACAUAACUUCAAUUAGACUACAGAUCACACAUUAGUCACCUUAUAAUGUAAUAUAUAUUGAUGUUUUCAAGAAAUUAAAACAAAUCUCAAUCACAGAGAGAUCUGAAUGCUAUAGAUUCAGGUAAAAAACAUCAAUUUUUAUUAAUGAUACACAGAGAACUUCUGAACAACCAAAGUAAAGAUAAAAGAAUCGGCGAAACAGAGGAAUCAAAUCAAGUGAUUUUCCAUCAAUUCAACAGCAGUCAGAGAUCAUAUAUUAUGAUUUAACAAACUCAAGAAAUCUAUAAUUUCACAAAUCAUAGAUUGCCAUAGUUAGACAUCACAAAAUGCAAUUUGACAUGGUAUCAAGUAUUUCGGUACUUGAUAAGAAGAAUAUUUUACCAAAAAAGACCAAAAUGUUAAGGAGAAGAAUUAUUAAGGUAACAAUCUGAAACUUACAUGAAUGUAGAAGAUGAAGAUGAUGACAAGGAGAAGAUUUAAACAUCGGUGGUUCAGCAAUAUCGACCUAAAGUCAUGACUCUGACUAUAAAUAGAUGAUGUCUAGUGAUGGGUAAGGCUACCAUAGAAGAUGAUCAGCGUAUAUGGCAGUCAUGGUGCCGCGAGGCGGAGAGCUUUAGAGCAGCAAUGUGGAAUUAGAAUGAGUAGGGUUUUUAGUUAUUUCUUUUUGUUAAUUAUUGGAGGAAACAUCUAAAUUCUAAUAGUGGUGAAAAACUAGGAGGGAAAAAUGACAAAAUUGUUUUCAAUUAGUAAUUUUUACGUGCAAAUUAUUUUUAUUGUCGGUAAAAAAUAAAUUUUAGUGGCCAAUGUUUAUGGGCCAGUAGUAUCUCAAUGUAAAUAAUUAAUUAGUGGCAAUUGACUUAUUAUCAUUAAAUAAUUAUCGCUAAAAGGCGCCUUUUUGUAGUAGUGUGAGGUUCAUAUGCAAGGCAAUACUAGCAAUACUAAUGUGGGAAUUGUGGAAAAGGAGAAAUGCAAGAAGGCAUGGAAAGGAAAUUACUUUUUAUAAGCUAGAGCAAAAAUGUCAGACCAUAAUAACACAGCUUAUAAGAAGUAAAUACCCGUGGAUAACAGUUCCUAAAGGGUGGGACACAAUUGUAGAGGUACUAAGAAGAUACAGGCCAAGAUUGCACUAUCACGCUGUGAGGUGGAUAAAACCGCAACAAGAUAAAUUUAAGUGCAACACGGAUGAAGCUAGCAGAGGUAACCCACCCUGGAGUAAGUUCUUACAGUUUCUGUAUUCGAGAUUACAAUUAAAGCUUGAUAUAUGCUGAAGCAGAUGCUUUAGGGGAUAGAAACACUAUGAAAGCAGAGACGAUAGCAAUUCUACAGGCACUUAGUUAUUGCAAGAGAAACAAUCUUCAAAACAUCAUUGUGGAAACAGAUUCGUUAGGAAUAACAAAAAUGCUUAGACAGGAAUGGAGGAUCCCAUGGGGCCAGGCAGAUGACAUACAAGAGAUAUAAGAGUUACAACAACAUGUUCAGGCACACAUACAACAUGUAUUCAGGGAAGCAAAUAAUCUAGCAAAUGAGGCAUGUGACCUAGAGGGGAAGAUUCAGACGCAAACAUAUCAACAACUAUGUAAAGGAAUUUUAAAUACUGAUAAAGCCCAAAUACCAUCACUGAGGAUUAGAACAAGGAAGAUUACAGUACAUGGGCAACAUCAUGAGUAGAGAAAGGAAUAAUAACAAAGCAGAACACAGAUAUGAUAUGUACAAUCAGUUUUGCCAAUACAAGGCAUACAUAACUGUGCAAAAGACUACGCUACAUAGCAUGAGCUUUCUCAACUUACAAAUUCCACCAGCAAAAGUUGAUGCCUUCAAAUUCAGAUGGUAUCUGGAGCUGAAGAAGAGAGCACGCUUCUUGGAAUCUCCUUCUCUGCCUCAGCUGGAAAUAAGGAGAUUAGAGGUGGAUGAGAGACGGCAAAAAGAGAACAGAGAAGAAGGAACUCACUCACUUGGAAUCUCUUAUACAGGAAGAUGCAGAUUUGGAGAAAGGAAGAGCUGAGGAGAAGCAGAGGCGGAUGAAUCCACAACACAAGCUCAACAGGUGAACAUAUUGAAGAAAGAGCCGGACCAAAUAGGGUUA